AGAGCGAACGCUGGCGGCAUGCUUAACACAUGCAAGUCGCACGGGCAGGGGAAACCCUGUCAGUGGCGGACGGGUGAGUAACGCGUAGGUAUCUAUCCUUGGGUGGGGGACAACGGCUGGAAACGGCUGCUAAUACCGCAUGAUGACCGAGGUCUAAAGGCGCAAGUCGCCUGGGGAGGAGCCUGCGUACGAUUAGCUUGUUGGUGGGGUAAAAGGCCUACCAAGGCUACGAUCGUUAGCUGGUCUGAGAGGAUGAUCAGCCACAUUGGGACUGAGACACGGCCCAAAACUCCUACGGGAGGCAGCAGUGGGGAAUAUUGGACAAUGGGCGCAAGCCUGAUCCAGCAAUGCCGCGUGUGUGAAGAAGGUCUUCGGAUUGUAAAGCCCUUUCGACGGGGACGAUGAUGACGGUACCCGUAGAAGAAGCCCCGGCUAACUUCGCGCCAGCAGCCGC
This 454-nucleotide ribosomal RNA is filed under the name uncultured bacterium. RNAcentral describes it as "SSU rRNA". It matches the Rfam family "Bacterial small subunit ribosomal RNA", at positions 26 to 518 of the family's 1533-position model. The record is from RNAcentral.